This 208-nucleotide unclassified non-coding RNA is filed under the name Hevea brasiliensis (rubber tree). Lineage: Eukaryota; Viridiplantae; Streptophyta; Magnoliopsida; Malpighiales; Euphorbiaceae. The record is from RNAcentral.
AUCAAAUGGCAUUGCAGAAUUCUGAUUUUCUAGGCAUGGUCCUUGUGAGUGUCCCACUCACUAGUAACAAUUAUUUGAGCUGGAGCAGAUCGAUAUUGAUUGCGCUCAGAGCUGAUUGCGCUCAGAGCAAAGGACAAGCUGAGAUUCAUCGAUGGCCUAUGCAAAGCUCCUGAAAAGGGUACACCAGAGUUUGAAAAAUGGAUGAAGG